Long non-coding RNA from Perca flavescens (yellow perch), 479 nucleotides. RefSeq lists it as uncharacterized. The record is from RefSeq and is a predicted model, not a curated record. The transcript has 3 exons. NCBI's taxonomy places the organism in Eukaryota, Metazoa, Chordata, Actinopteri, Perciformes, Percidae.
CAUCGUGUUGAAGACCGAGAUCAACACGGUUCCUUCUUUUUUACAAAGAAGUUCUUUUCUGCUCUUUUGAUUGCUUUUAUUUCAGUAUUUCAGCCUCGUAGCAGCUUUUUCACUUUAACCAUUUAACCUUUUUCAAUAAAUAAAACCAAAUAAGACCGCUGCGGUUUUUGGACAUCCUGCAUCUUUGCACCUGAGGUCUCUCCAUCAACACUCAGGGAGUUAUGUGGAGGAUUCUCCUGAUGGUCAGUCUGCUCUGCUGGAGCGCUGAUGGACAAGUGAAAUGCAGAGACAACAACAACGGAGAAGUGGACUGGUACAUCAUCUACAAGGUACCCAAAGUUACAGAGAACAAAAAAACUACGGGUUUGGAAUAUCUUUACAUUGAUUCAAAAGGGAAGAAGGAGACCUUAGAUCAAAAUAAGCUCAUCGACGAUGCUAACGGUGUCCUGGCAAAAACCCUGAAGCCCCUUUUUACUAAA